CCUACGGGAGGCAGCAGCCAGGAAUCUUGGGCAAUGGGCGAAAGCCUGACCCAGCAACACCGUGUGGGCGAUGAAGGCCUUCGGGUCGUAAAGCCCUGUUGAUAGGGACGAAGGGCGAAGGGUUAAUAGCCCCUAGCCUGACGGUACCUUUCGAGGAAGCCCCGGCUAACUACGUGCCAGCAGCCGCGGUAAUACGUAGGGGGCGAGCGUUGUCCGGAAUUAUUGGGCGUAAAGAGCGUGUAGGCGGUUCGGUAAGUCUGCCGUGAAAACCUGAGGCUCAACCUCGGGCGUGCGGUGGAUACUGCCGGGCUAGAGGACGGUAGAGGCGAGUGGAAUUCCCGGUGUAGCGGUGAAAUGCGCAGAUAUCGGGAGGAACACCAGUAGCGAAGGCGGCUCGCUGGGCCGUUCCUGACGCUGAGACGCGAAAGCUAGGGGAGCGAACAGGAUUAGAUACCCUGGUAGUCCUAGCCGUAAACGAUGGACACUAGGUGUGGGGGGAGUCGAAUCCCUCUGUGCCGCAGUUAACGCGUUAAGUGCCCCGCCUGGGGAGUACGGCCGCAAGGCUAAAACUCAAAGGAAUUGACGGGGGCCCGCACAAGCAGCGGAGCAUGUGGUUUAAUUCGACGCAACGCGAAGAACCUUACCUGGGCUUGACAUGUGGAUGACCGACGUGGAAACACGUCUUCCCUUCGGGGCAUCUUCACAGGUGGUGCAUGGCUGUCGUCAGCUCGUGUCGUGAGAUGUUGGGUUAAGUCCCGCAACGAGCGCAACCCCCGUCGCAUGUUGCCAGCAUUUAGUUGGGGACUCAUGCGAGACUGCCGGUGACAAACCGGAGGAAGGUGGGGAUGACGUCAAGUCAUCAUGCCCCUUAUGUCCAGGGCUACACACGUGCUACAUUGGCGCGUACAGAGGGCUGCGAUACCGCGAGGUGGAGCGAAUCCCUCAAAGCGCGUCUCGGUUCCGAUUGGAGGCGAACCUCCCCUCCCCGAAGCGGAUUUUCAUU
This 1003-nucleotide ribosomal RNA is filed under the name uncultured bacterium. RNAcentral's name for it is "bacterial SSU rRNA". It matches the Rfam family "Bacterial small subunit ribosomal RNA", at positions 338 to 1338 of the family's 1533-position model. The record is from RNAcentral.